RNAcentral lists this ribosomal RNA (243 nucleotides) under uncultured bacterium. RNAcentral describes it as "partial 16S ribosomal RNA". It matches the Rfam family "Bacterial small subunit ribosomal RNA", at positions 527 to 769 of the family's 1533-position model. The record is from RNAcentral.
GUAGGGGGCAAGCGUUAUCCGGAUUUACUGGGUGUAAAGGGAGCGCAGGCGGACGUUUAAGUCAGUUGUGAAAUACGGCGGCUCAACCGUCGGGGUGCAGUUGAUACUGGACGUCUUGAGUGCACACAAGGAUGCCGGAAUUCAUGGUGUAGCGGUGAAAUGCUCAGAUAUCAUGAAGAACUCCGAUCGCGAAGGCAGGUGUCCGGGGUGCAACUGACGCUGAGGCUCGAAAGUGCGGGUAUC